Molecule: long non-coding RNA, 631 nt
Filed under: Medicago truncatula (barrel medic)
Lineage: Eukaryota; Viridiplantae; Streptophyta; Magnoliopsida; Fabales; Fabaceae
Description: long non-coding RNA (MTRU_LNC006906)
Source: RNAcentral
CACGUCUAAAGAGUCGUUUGAAAUCCUUUGAUCAUCCACCAGUAAUCCUUUGCCUGAUUUGGGUGUACUCCUUUGAAGAAUAAGCUUCAAAUUCAUUCCCAUCUUGAGGGCACAAAUUCUGCAGGCAUAGCUGUUGUCUUGUCUUGUAGCGUGGACAAAACAGAGUAGUGGAGGUAUUGGUUGUACACUUGUACUUUGUCAACUCUGUUAACGAAGGACAAAUGCUAAGAGCUAUCCAAAUGACCGUUGAUACCUCCCUUUCACUUCUUCGUUCUUCUUAGAUUAGGUUGAAAUGAGAAACAGCUACUUUGGACCUUCAGUUUGAAUAUAUGGAUUAAUUGUAGCUUCUGGUGAUGAUAUAGCUUCUGAUGAAAAACCUUGCUUCUGAUGAACUUCUGCUUCUGAUGACGUCAUCACUUCAGAAGCACUUCAACUUCAGGAGCAGUUUUCUUUAGAUGCUUGGAAUUCUUUUGCUUUUCAUUGUUCUUCCAAGACCUGUUGAAAUUACUUGACUAGCCUUUGGUCCUGUACACUUGAACAAUAAUUAGUAAUAACCAAUUGACAAUUUUUAAUACCUUGUUAUCAUCAAAACUAAAUAAGGUUCAUUGUGAAACACAUUUUGUUCCAACAA